This 202-nucleotide transfer-messenger RNA is filed under the name Sphingomonadales bacterium. RNAcentral describes it as "partial transfer-messenger RNA". It matches the Rfam family "Alphaproteobacteria transfer-messenger RNA", at positions 143 to 355 of the family's 355-position model. Rfam says of the family: Bacterial tmRNA, also known as 10Sa RNA or SsrA, is named for its dual tRNA and mRNA-like properties. Its role is to liberate the mRNA from a stalled ribosome. The record is from RNAcentral. Lineage: Bacteria; Pseudomonadati; Pseudomonadota; Alphaproteobacteria; Sphingomonadales.
CUGAUGGGGCCGAACCAGGAUCGACGUGUGUUGAAAAGCGUAGUUUUCGUCCGGGCUGAGUAACCCGCAUAAGGCUCAAAACCAAUAAGUGCCAACGACAACGAAGCACUUGCUCUCGCCGCGUAAUGUGACGGCUUAACGGCCUGAAUUUACAAAGCUAAGAGCACGGUUCGGACCGAACCGGGUAACAGAAUCGGAAACC